RNAcentral lists this ribosomal RNA (465 nucleotides) under Vreelandella stevensii. Its description in RNAcentral is "partial 16S ribosomal RNA". It matches the Rfam family "Bacterial small subunit ribosomal RNA", at positions 338 to 795 of the family's 1533-position model. Lineage: Bacteria; Pseudomonadati; Pseudomonadota; Gammaproteobacteria; Oceanospirillales; Halomonadaceae. The record is from RNAcentral.
CCUACGGGCGGCUGCAGUGGGGAAUAUUGGACAUUGGGGGGAACCCUGAUCCAGCCAUGCCGCGUGUGUGAAGAAGGCCCUCGGGUUGUAAAGCACUUUCAGUGAGGAAGAACGCCUGGUGGUUAAUACCCAUCAGGAAAGACAUCACUCACAGAAGAAGCACCGGCUAACUCCGUGCCAGCAGCCGCGGUAAUACGGAGGGUGCGAGCGUUAAUCGGAAUUACUGGGCGUAAAGCGCGCGUAGGUGGCUUGAUAAGCCGGUUGUGAAAGCCCCGGGCUCAACCUGGGAACGGCAUCCGGAACUGUCAAGCUAGAGUGCAGGAGAGGAAGGUAGAAUUCCCGGUGUAGCGGUGAAAUGCGUAGAGAUCGGGAGGAAUACCAGUGGCGAAGGCGGCCUUCUGGACUGACACUGACACUGAGGUGCGAAAGCGUGGGUAGCAAACAGGAUUAGAUACCCUGGUAGUC